ACGGAGCCUUAACCAAGAAGCAGCCAGCUUGCUGGAAGCGGACAAGGGAAAGGCUUAGUGGCGGACGGGUGAGUAACGCGUGGGUAACCUGGCCCAUACAGGGGGAUAACACUUAGAAAUAGGUGCUAAUACCGCAUAACAACAGAAAGCGCAUGCUUUUUGUUUGAAAACCAAGGUGGUAUGGGAUGGACCCGCGUCUGAUUAGCUGGUUGGCGGGGUAAAGGCCCACCAAGGCGACGAUCAGUAGCCGGCCUGAGAGGGUGGACGGCCACAUUGGGACUGAGACACGGCCCAAACUCCUACGGGAGGCAGCAGUGGGGAAUAUUGCACAAUGGGGGAAACCCUGAUGCAGCGACGCCGCGUGAGUGAAGAAGUAAUUCGUUAUGUAAAGCUCUAUCAGCAGGGAAGAAAGAAAUGACGGUACCUGACUAAGAAGCCCCGGCUAACUACGUGCCAGCAGCCGCGGUAAUACGUAGGGGGCAAGCGUUAUCCGGAUUUACUGGGUGUAAAGGGAGCGUAGACGGCAGUGCAAGUCUGAAGUGAAAGGCGGGGGCCCAACCCCCGGACUGCUUUGGAAACUGUGCUGCUGGAGUGCAGGAGAGGCAAGUGGAAUUCCUAGUGUAGCGGUGAAAUGCGUAGAUAUUAGGAGGAACACCAGUGGCGAAGGCGGCUUGCUGGACUGUAACUGACGUUGAGGCUCGAAAGCGUGGGGAGCAAACAGGAUUAGAUACCCUGGUAGUCCACGCCGUANACGAUGAUCACUAGGUGUCGGUGGGUAU
This 779-nucleotide ribosomal RNA is filed under the name uncultured bacterium. RNAcentral's name for it is "bacterial SSU rRNA". It matches the Rfam family "Bacterial small subunit ribosomal RNA", at positions 39 to 833 of the family's 1533-position model. The record is from RNAcentral.